This is a long non-coding RNA of Metopolophium dirhodum (rose-grain aphid), 2385 nucleotides long. RefSeq lists it as uncharacterized. The record is from RefSeq and is a predicted model, not a curated record. The transcript is spliced from 6 exons. Lineage: Eukaryota; Metazoa; Arthropoda; Insecta; Hemiptera; Aphididae.
UCGGCCGUGUUGGAAGCAUAUUAUUAUAGUUUUUGACUCAGCAUAUUAUUAAAUUAUAGUUAAUAUAAAUAUAAUUUUUGUUAGACCACGGUGUAGAGAAUAUAAUAUCUUCUCUACAUCGUGGGUCAGACGUUCGUGAGCGACAAGGUCCAAUCACCAGCCAAUCCAAUCACCAUUCAAUCCAUGCCAGAGCCCACCGUCAACCUGAAGCGGCUUUCGAAUCUUCGUGAAACCAGAGGAUCCUGUGCCUAAAUCAAAAUUUAGCCAUUACCUAUAUUAUUGGUUGGGGAUAAAUACACAGUUGAUAGCGGCCGGCAGACUCGUCGUGUAUCCUUCAGCAGAUAGAUUUCCAACUAUAGCUUCAUUCCAACAUAUCAAACACCAUCACUCAAUGAGUCAAGGCAGCAUUCUCGUAACGGAGUUGGGAUCAACCAAGAACGGCGAUCGGCUGUCGAAAACUUUGUUUAGCCGUAAAACCAACACUAGCCAUCGCCACCAAUCAACUUUGGUGUUUUCGUUCUUGAUUUCCUUGAAAUCGAUUUUUCUGAUUUUGAUACUAAAAUAUAGAUAUUAUAUAAAUAAAGUGAAAGAACCAGGAAAUCAUUUAAUGAUUUUUCGGUUCUUUCACUUUCUUUGAAAUACUCCUCUUAUCUAAUCCUUUUAUUUUGGUUACUUGCUCCAUAAAACAUGUCACCGUCACGGUUCAGUCACAGUAUAGUGGCACCCAUCGUCUUCCCUUUCUCAGCAUUUCCAGUCAAAUUCUAUAUAUCCUGCCGUCCAUAAACUAAGUUAAUCGAGAAAAAGAGACGUUCUCGGUAUUUACUUGAGCCCAAUAUUACUGAGGACGGUGGUCGGCCUCCGAAAUCGUUUGUGGAACUCGUGGAGGCAGCUUGUCGUUUGCGGACGGAUGUCGAGUACGUUGCCAGUGGUUUAGAAUGCGGUUCGGCGACGGAAUUUCACGGGCAUACAAUAUCAAGUUUCGCCGACAGAACUGUUGAAAUACCUGUAAAUACUACCUAGAGUAUAUACCUAUCGGCGUAAGAUGUAUAAUUUGUAACGAUGAUAUAUCUUCACAAUUUAUUGGUUUGCUUCUUAUCGUUGGAGAGAUGUAACUCCCUACUUCUAAACCAUCCAAAGUCACUUCCUCGACAGAACUUCUGGAAAAACUGAGAACACGCAUCCAUCAUCAUUAAACAGAGUACGAGUAGAUGAUAGUAUUAUGAUGGCCAUCGAGUGGUUUAUGAAAUCAAUAAAUCUAAUUUAUCAGCUUCGAAGAGACAGAUCCUGAGCCCUGUUUCAGAAGUUAAAUAAAAGAUCGAAAGCGUUUACAUACUCUGUGCAUGUGAAAGAUGAUUGCAAACUCCAAAAGAAGUACCCAAGAAAAACAAGAACAAGCUAGUAUUGGCAGGUAGUCCAAUAGUUUUGUGAGCGAUACUCGAUAUUGUUUUGCCCGUAAAAUUCCGUGGUCGAACCACAUGCUCAACCACUGGCAACGUACUCGACGUCCGUACGCAAACGGCGACCUGCAUUCGAGAGCGUCACAAACGAUUUCGGAGGCCGAUCACCGUCCUCAGUAAUAUUGGGCUCAAGUGGAUUACGAGAAUGUCCCUUUUUCUCGAUAAACAUAGUUAAUGGGCGGGAGGCUGCAUAGAAUUUGGCUGGAAAUGCUGAGAAAGGAAAGACGAUGGGUGCCACUAUACCGUGACUGAACCGUGACGGUGACAUGUUUUAUGGAGCAAGUAACCAAAAUAAAAGGAUUAGAUAAGAGGAGUAUUUCAAAGAAAGUGAAAAAACCGAGAAAUCAUUAAAUGAUUUCUUUGUUCUUUCACUUUACUUAUAUAAAAUCUAUGUCUUAGUGUCAAAACUAGAAAAAUCGAUUUAUUAUUCUCAAAGGAAUUACAAAAUUAAUUAUUUAUCGCCAAUAGUGUUAAAUGAGAUAACGAAAUUUGUUUUGCUCGUCCUGAACAAUUAUUGAUAAAAAUGGAGUUAUCUUGUUCUUGAACAGAGCCCUUCAUUUUGUGGGCGAUUUAUUAUGUAUUUAUUUAGUAAAAGUUGUGGGAAAAAAUAAUUCUUUGUAGUUGCCACAAAUCAAGUAUGAUUUUUGCCCGAGAUUCUCUUGUACCUAUUUAGUUAUUACAUGUAUGUACAGUAUUGUGGGUAUAUUGUAAUUGAUAUUUAUUUAGAAGAAAUGUUACAUAGGGAUACAAUGUUAUAGUAUGUAAGGUAGUAGUAAUUCUGUUUAAUUUAAAAUUAAUAAUGUAAUUGUUACGGACUGCACAUAUGAUGUGACACCGUAACAAAGUAUAAUACAUAUAAUUAUUUAUAAUAACUAAUGAGGCGAAUAUUGCUCACUAGACAUAUUAUAGUCGUCCAGGUACACACAUA